This 274-nucleotide ribosomal RNA is filed under the name uncultured bacterium. RNAcentral describes it as "partial 16S ribosomal RNA". It matches the Rfam family "Bacterial small subunit ribosomal RNA", at positions 523 to 796 of the family's 1533-position model. The record is from RNAcentral.
AUACGGAGGGUGCAAGCGUUAAUCGGAAUUACUGGGCGUAAAGCGCACGUAGGCGGCUUGUUAAGUCAGAUGUGAAAGCCCCGGGCUCAACCUGGGAACUGCAUUUGAUACUGGCAGGCUAGAGUAUGCUAGAGGCAAGUGGAAUUCCGGGUGUAGCGGUGAAAUGCGUAGAUAUCCGGAGGAACACCAGUGGCGAAGGCGACUUGCUGGACCAAUACUGACGCUGAGGUGCGAAAGCGUGGGGAGCAAACAGAAUUAGAAACCCUAGUAGUCC